AAAUUGAAGAGUUUGAUCAUGGCUCAGAUUGAACGCUGGCGGCAGGCCUAACACAUGCAAGUCGAACGGUAACAGGAAGAAGCUUGCUUCUUUGCUGACGAGUGGCGGACGGGUGAGUAAUGUCUGGGAAACUGCCUGAUGGAGGGGGAUAACUACUGGAAACGGUAGCUAAUACCGCAUAACGUCGCAAGACCAAAGAGGGGGACCUUCGGGCCUCUUGCCAUCGGAUGUGCCCAGAUGGGAUUAGCUAGUAGGUGGGGUAACGGCUCACCUAGGCGACGAUCCCUAGCUGGUCUGAGAGGAUGACCAGCCACACUGGAACUGAGACACGGUCCAGACUCCUACGGGAGGCAGCAGUGGGGAAUAUUGCACAAUGGGCGCAAGCCUGAUGCAGCCAUGCCGCGUGUAUGAAGAAGGCCUUCGGGUUGUAAAGUACUUUCAGCGGGGAGGAAGGGAGUAAAGUUAAUACCUUUGCUCAUUGACGUUACCCGCAGAAGAAGCACCGGCUAACUCCGUGCCAGCAGCCGCGGUAAUACGGAGGG
Molecule: ribosomal RNA, 542 nt
Filed under: Escherichia coli
Lineage: Bacteria; Pseudomonadati; Pseudomonadota; Gammaproteobacteria; Enterobacterales; Enterobacteriaceae
Description: bacterial SSU rRNA
Rfam family: Bacterial small subunit ribosomal RNA
Source: RNAcentral